This 893-nucleotide long non-coding RNA is filed under the name Sorghum bicolor (sorghum). RNAcentral's name for it is "long non-coding RNA (SBIC_LNC010621)". The record is from RNAcentral. Lineage: Eukaryota; Viridiplantae; Streptophyta; Magnoliopsida; Poales; Poaceae.
GGUCUCAUCGGACAUUCCUUCUAUGCGAAGGAGGUCACAGACUCGAUAAAACUCUCUUAGGUGUGUGUAUGGGUUUUCCUCACCUUCUCCUGAGAAAGGUUGUUUUUGAACAAAUUCUAUGUAUUCGGAAUCUUUCUCAAAACUAGAUGCUAUGAUAGGCUUUGAAGAUUUUGGUGGUUCGAGAUGUGUGCCCGUAGGUCUAUGAAAUUCAAAGAUAGACAUGUUUGAAUUCAUGAUAGACCAGAGAUCAAGGAUUAGAUAAGAAGAAAGAUUAACAGAGAUGAGGCAAAAGAUAAAAGGAAAAUAUUUUUUUAUUUUUUUUAGAAAAUGAUUAAGCUAGUUCGUAGUCAACUCAGCAACCGUUUCCCCGGCAACGGCGCCAAAAAUGCUUGUUGACACUUGCUAACACCACUUGAAUACUAGGUUGUCAUCCCCAGCAUGGCACUAGAGUGUACUAUGGUAUUUAUACGCACACAGAUAAUCCGCAAUCGCACGGAUACCGUUAUAGCUUUUACCCGGUUAAAGGUUUUAUCGUAUCCACAGGGAAACGGGAGAACUGAUCUACGCUCUAACUUAACCAAGAUAAGUAAAUAGGUGUAAAUAGGAAAGAUGGUAGAAUCGAAUAAGAACAAUAUUAAAGGUAAGAUAACAGUGAGUGAUAAUAUGGGAAUAGAGAAUAGAGCAAUUCUAGUAUAUGGGCGAUGGUAGCAGAAUGGAGAGGAUAACUAUGGUUUCUCUACUUCAAAGGGGUAUGUCUAUGUCUAGGACGAACCACGUGAUAAGAGUACACCACAAAGGAUGCUUAUCCUUAGGCCGAUAAACCCUACCCGUCCUGCUAACGAGAGGUGGACUACAGAGGACCAACGUAACUGUCACCUACGCGGCCUACCACA